Molecule: long non-coding RNA, 208 nt
Organism: Fukomys damarensis (Damara mole-rat)
Lineage: Eukaryota; Metazoa; Chordata; Mammalia; Rodentia; Bathyergidae
Exons: 3
Source: RefSeq, a predicted model, not a curated record
AGGCUUCGGGAGACUGGACAUCUUCUCAAGAUUCACCACAGGCACGAAAAGGCUACACGUGGAGAGACGGAGGUGGAGAGAGCAAUCGAGGGCUCCCCUCACCGCAAUGCUUCUGGAAAGCUUGAGGCUUCACCACCUGGCUGCAGUGGUUACACACAACCAAAUAGAAGUCAUCAUGGGCUGGGCAGUGCCCGAAGAUGGACAUGUC